This 253-nucleotide ribosomal RNA is filed under the name uncultured bacterium. Its description in RNAcentral is "partial 16S ribosomal RNA". It matches the Rfam family "Bacterial small subunit ribosomal RNA", at positions 524 to 776 of the family's 1533-position model. The record is from RNAcentral.
UACGGAGGGGGCUAGCGUUGUUCGGAAUUACUGGGCGUAAAGCGCACGUAGGCGGACUGUUAAGUCGGGGGUGAAAUCCUGGGGCUCAACCUCAGAAUUGCCUCCGAUACUGGCAGUCUCGAGUGCGGGAGAGGUGAGUGGAAUUCCCAGUGUAGAGGUGAAAUUCGUAGAUAUUGGGAAGAACACCAGUGGCGAAGGCGGCUCACUGGCCCGUAACUGACGCUGAGGUGCGAAAGCGUGGGGAGCGAGCCGG